Molecule: long non-coding RNA, 989 nt
Filed under: Zea mays
Lineage: Eukaryota; Viridiplantae; Streptophyta; Magnoliopsida; Poales; Poaceae
Description: long non-coding RNA (ZMAY_LNC000361)
Source: RNAcentral
CACCUUUGGCCGCCGCCUCCCCUCUCAUCUCCUCCUUUUCCAAACUCUUGCAGCCACACACCAAACCCUAGCCGCCCCCCCAUCUCCUCCUCCCAAGGUGCUUUUCGUUGCCGCUCGGAUCUACGUCGCGUGGUGCAAAUCUUCGAUUGUUUUCAGUGGAGGGAAGAAGGGAGGAAGGAAAGGGGGACAACCCAAGGUGAUUUUUGUGUUUAUCUCUUGUUCAUUUGUGCUGCAAUCCAAUUGAUUAGAUGUGGCGUAUGCGAUUGGGUAGAGGGGCUGUCCAGAAUUUUAGGUGGCGGACGAACAGCAGUAAUUCUAGCAGUUUUUGGGUUUUUUCGUGGGGAGUUAAUGGGAAUCAGUUUGGGAAUCACGUAGAACUUUGGCAUACCUUUCCAACGAGUAUUUAUGCGCUCAAUUCGGAGUUAUAAAUCAAAAGAUAUCGCCAUUUGAAUCCGGGUAUGUGGCUGUCCAAAAAAAACAGAUUUUUCAGGUGGACAAACAGCAGCAGUGUUAGCAGUUUUUUGGGAUGUUUCAUGAGUAAUUAGUGUUAAUCAUUAUGAGAAUCACAUAGGGCUUUGUCUUACCUUUCCAACAAGUACUUAUGCGCUCGAUUCGGAAUUAUAUUUUAAAAGUUAUCGCUGUUUGAAUCUGGGUAUGUCGCUGCCCAAAAGAGGAAAAAAACAGAUUGCUGUGUUUAUCUUGUGGACCGUUUAGGGGUAAUUAGAUUUUAGAAUUUAAUCAUAACUUGUAUACAAAACUUGUGGGGAAUUUUAUGUAGAUGUCUCUGGAGUUUUUGUUUGUCACGACUGCUGCCUUAAUUUUAAAGUUAUGGAAUCGUUAAGCAGCGCCGCUGCAGUUUGGUGGGUGUGGGGAGAAUUGUUACCCGCGGCGGGGUUUGAGAUUGCGCGUAGGUGCGGCGUUGUUUUUGGGCUUAUUAUGUGAUAUUGGUGCACUAAGUUGGGUGUCAAAAACAGGUAGUGGACUUCCGG